ACCAGGUGGAUGUUUUUCCCAUGGGAAGAUACAGCACAUGCCAUUACAGAAUCUGGCCACAGAGGAGGGUCCCACAUGACAAAAGUUUUUGAAAAUCAAGAAAUAACAUGUUUGCAGAAAAGCUGCCACACCAUACCAGCAUAAAAAUCACAGUAGGAUCUUACUGUUUCUUUUACCAUACCAGAACCCUCAUUUUGACAGGGAGAAGCCAAAAGUCAAGCAGGCAGAUCCCAGUCCUGAUGGAAACCCUCCUGAUAUUCCAUGGACCUGUCUCUGUACAGGUAAUUCCAGAUAUCAAAGCUGUGGCUACGUGUCUUUCUGGAUUUGUAUUCUCAACAUCCACCAUGUGCAGCUGGGUGUUGUCCAUCCAGCCAAAGGAUGAGCCUGUAGCUCCAGCAGAAACUUUUCCCCAUGGCACUACAGAAGGGAGCAGCUGUGCUGGACAUUUCUUGGCUUUUCCUCAGUGAAGAAGAGGCCAAAUCUUUCUUUUUAGUGUUUCCUCUAUCGCAUCUUUCUGAGGGCUGCUGGGGGUCAAAAGUUAUCUCCUCUGCCAAGAUGAGGUUUUUCACACAAACUAACUCUGAUGGUGUUAAUGUAGACCACGUUGGUCUGCAGAUCCUUCCAGCUCUGAGGGUUUCAGCAUGAAUCUCUCACACAUAAAUGGUCAUAAUUCAGUUAAAUUCCAUUACAAGGGGAGCAACUGGCUUUUCUACAUGCAUGGUUUUAUCUCACAGAGGCUUUAACGGAAAAAUAGAACAUUUUAAGUAACUGCUUUUAAUGUAAAUGUGCCUAUACAUCUGCCAGUUAGGAAGAUGGAGAAUUUGCCUCCAUUUCACAAGCAAUAAUCACACCCCUAACAGGCUGCUCCUGUCUCCAUCUCAUGGGCCUCCUCUCCCAGAGAUGCCAGCAGUGUUGUCAAACUCUGAAAGGGCUGAGAGAAUGUCAUGGAGACUGGAAAGCAGACUCCAUUAUUAUCCAUCACUCAUCACUGGUAGCUGCUGGGUGAUUGCAGGGCCAUGAAUUCUCCUCUGCAGGGACAGAAAGGCCUCAUUUGAAAAUAUAAAUGUUAUAUUGGUCUAGCUCAAAAGUCAUCCUGUUACAAUGAAUUAGCUGAUCAUCUGCAAAAAUUCCUGCUAAGCAAAUACAUAAAAUAGCCUGUUACCUGGGCACACAUAAUUACACCCAUUUUGGUACAAGCUGCCUCACCAAGAGGGUUUGCAAGUCAACAGUCUCUAUCACUGCCAGGCCCAGGAAUGGCUGGGUAUUCCAACCUGUGCACCACUUGCAAAAAAAUACAGUUUCAAUAUUUUUUAAGAGGAAAAUAUUCUCAAAUAAUGUAACGGUGAAAUGACCAAAGGAGGGUGACAUGUGUAUGAAUACAAGGGGGUGAUGUGCACUUGCUCAGCCUCUGAAAUUCCAUAUAUAUAUUUCUAACCUCUAAAGAAAAAAUAUUGGUAAAUAUGCCCAAAUGCAGCAGCAGUCACCAUUUAUGAGCCGUGAAACCACCAAGCCUCAUCCUCAACAGGGUUAAAUUGUCCUCAUUCCAUCAGAACCACGUGGCAAUGCUGCAUCCACUCACCUGGGUUUGGG
Molecule: long non-coding RNA, 1590 nt
Organism: Poecile atricapillus (Black-capped chickadee)
Lineage: Eukaryota; Metazoa; Chordata; Aves; Passeriformes; Paridae
Exons: 3
Source: RefSeq, a predicted model, not a curated record